GUUCUUUCACUCCCCCGCGCGUGAGCUCCUGGCAGCCUCACCCUUUUGCACAUGACACGCCUCCCCGGGUCUCCCGCAGACAGGCCUCGCUCCUCCCUCCGCCAGGCCUGCCCGGGAGGCCUCGACCCGGCGAGGUGACCCGCCCCAGGGUCGCCGGCGCGAGGACGGGGCUGGCGGUGCAGCGGAGCUGCUUCCUCAGAGCCGCUUCCUCAGAGCCGCUUCCUCAGAGCCAGCUGCGGCGGGCCCGGGCGGGAACCACGGGAGCCCAGUGCACCAGCCUCCUCGGUGCUACCGCGGGACACAGAGGAAACAGCCACAGCUGGUUUCCGUGGGCAGGCCCCGGGCUGAAACUAGAGCCAGGGUGCGGCCGGCGGGGGACAGGGAAAGAGGUCACAGCGAAGACUCAGAAGAAACAAAAGAAAAGCGAAUGUAAGAGCUUCACCACCUUCCCACUCCAGGACGGUGGACAACAAGAGGUUUGAAAGCUGUGAUGUCCUCACUGUCUUCCUUCCCUCUCAUGGAAUGAAAAGUCGUUUUUGCCAGAAUAUUAUACCUGCAAGAUCUCAUGGGGAGGAGACUGCAGUCUACCCGCUGGAGAUUUUUGCCUACAGAAAGCUUCCCUUUUUUUGCAACCCAGAGACAGACUUUAUAGCCUCUCCAACUCCCCUUGAAUUUUUAAGGGAGAGAAAGAAAAGCCCCAAAGUGAAAGAUAGUGGUCAUCUAUGCCUUGGAAAGAUAAAUGGGUGUUUUGGUUUUGUUUUUAAAUGAAUUUUCCUUUUCUAAAGAAUUUCUUUCAAAAAAUUAGUGGGAGUUGAGGUGAGGCAUGUGUUUUAUAUUUUUAUAUCCACUUUAGUAGGUUUUAAUAUAACGUCUUGAGUCCCUUUUGAAUUUCUUUAUGACCCAGGUCAAGCUGCCCUGAUUCAGGUUCCACACUGCUAAAAAUUAAAUUGUAGCUUCCAUCCAUGUCACAAAUAUGUAAGCUGGGGAGGUAACCUACUAUCAGGCCAUAUUUACAGAAUGGCUAAAAAACUAAGCUAAACUUCUCGAAGAUGUCAAUACCUAAGUGUCUUUGGGAUACUUCCUGAUACUACCUGUGAGAAUCUGUUCAUUUUUUCUUUUAAUUAGGACUUUAUUUUACUGAAAAAAAAAAUAUCUUGAAUGAAGAGAGCCAAAGUACAUGGUGAUGUGAGUGUGAGUCAUGGAACUUCUUCUUUUCUCUGAAUAAUUUUUUCACUUAAGAAGACAUCCAGAUACAUUCAGAUAAUUUGACUAUUUGCCGACCUCUUGGAUGUGCCAUAGAUUCUUAUGCAUUGGAUCCUUGAAGACUUACGCUUCAGGAUGGCAUGCCGGACACACAAGUUCACUUCCCCCUUGCAAAGCCACAUGACGUUUACGGUAAAGAAAUAAGGCAGAAAUAAAGUCAUGACACUGUGACCAGAAGGAAGGCCAUCCGAGAGAAAUAUACUUUUGUGAAGUUCUUGGCAAGAAGAAAGAGGAGAGGACCAGGCCGGGCACGGUAGCUCACGCCUGUAAUCCCAGCACUUUGAGAGGCCAAGGCGGGUGGAUUACAAGGUCAGGAGAUUGAGACCAUCCUGGCUAACACGGUGAAACCCUGUCUCUACUAAAAGUACAAAAAAUUAGCCAGGCAUGGUGGCGGGCGCCUGUAGUCCCAGCUAUUGGGGAGGCUAAGGCAGGAGAAUGGCGUGAACCCAGGAGGCGGAGCUUGCAGUGAGCUGAGAUCGUGCCACUGCACUCCAGCCUGGGCAACAGUGCAAGACUCCAUCUCAAAAAAAAAAAAAAAAAAAAGAGAAAAUUGAUAAUUUGACUAUUUGCCGACCUCUUGGAUGUACCAUAGAUUCUUAUGCACUGGAUCCUUGAAGAUUUACACUUCAGGAUGGCAUGCCGGGCACACAAGUUCACUUCCCCCUUGCAAAGCCACAUGACAUUUACAGUAAAGAAAUAAGGCAGAAAUAAAGUCAUGACACUACUGUGACCAGUGCAGUGGCAUGACAAUAACUCACUGCAGCCUCAAAUUCCUGGGCUCAAGGGAUCCUCCUACCUCAGCCUACUGUGGAAUAAGUGAGACCACAGGCACGUGCCACCAUGCUUGUCUAAUUUUUUUUUUUAAGUACUGGUAGAGAUGGGUACCUUGCUUUGUUGCCCAGGCUGGAGUGCAGUGGUGCGAUCUCGGCUCACUGCAACCUC
RNAcentral lists this long non-coding RNA (2205 nucleotides) under Pongo abelii (Sumatran orangutan). RNAcentral describes it as "lincRNA". Lineage: Eukaryota; Metazoa; Chordata; Mammalia; Primates; Hominidae. The record is from RNAcentral.